UGGGGAAUUUUGGACAAUGGGCGCAAGCCUGAUCCAGCAAUGCCGCGUGCAGGAUGAAGGCCUUCGGGUUGUAAACUGCUUUUGUACGGAGCGAAAAGGUCUGCCCUAAUACGUUGGGCUCAUGACGGUACCGUAAGAAUAAGCACCUGCUAACUACGUGCCAGCAGCCGCGGUAAUACGUGGGGUGCGAGCGUUAAUCGGAAUUACUGGGCGUAAAGCGUGCGCAGGCGGUUAUAUAAGUCAGAUGUGAAAUCCCGGGGCUCAACCUGGGACCUGCAUUUGUGACUGUAUAGCUAGAGUACGGUAGAGGUGAGUGGAAUUCCGAGUGUAGCAGUGAAAUUCGUAGAUAUGCGGAGGAACACCGGUGGCGAAGGCGAUCCACUGGACCUGUACUGACGCUGAUGCACGAAAGCGUGGGGAGCAAACA
This 427-nucleotide ribosomal RNA is filed under the name uncultured bacterium. RNAcentral's name for it is "bacterial SSU rRNA". It matches the Rfam family "Bacterial small subunit ribosomal RNA", at positions 355 to 774 of the family's 1533-position model. The record is from RNAcentral.